Physeter macrocephalus (sperm whale) is the source of this 281-nucleotide long non-coding RNA. RefSeq lists it as uncharacterized. The transcript is spliced from 3 exons. NCBI's taxonomy places the organism in Eukaryota, Metazoa, Chordata, Mammalia, Artiodactyla, Physeteridae. The record is from RefSeq and is a predicted model, not a curated record.
CUGAUUGGCAUUCCUGGAAGCAGAAAGCAAGGCAGCUCAAGUUGUGUUCUGUUACUCAGCAUGAAAAACUUCCCAGGUAUACAUAAUACAAACAAACAGCAGGAGGAGAGGGUGCAAGAAACACUUCUAUCUCCCUGUCAAGUCUUCUUUUCCAGGGCUGUCUUGUAAACUUUGCAUUGCUUUAAAAAGGAAACAGGGCUUCCCUGGUGGUGCAGUGGUUAAGAAUCUGCCUGCUAAUGCAGGGGACAUGGGUUCGAGCUCUGGUCUGGGAGGAUCCCACA